UACGUAGGGCGCAAGCGUUGUCCGGAAUUAUUGGGCGUAAAGAGCGUGUAGGCGGUCUGGUAGGUCCGUUGUGAAAACUCGAGGCUCAACCUCGAGACGCCGAUGGAAACCCUCAGACUAGAGUCCGGAAGAGGAGAGUGGAAUUCCUGGUGUAGCGGUGAAAUGCGCAGAUAUCAGGAAGAACACCCGUGGCUAAGGCGGGUCUCUGGGCCGUUACUGACGCUGAGGAGCGAAAGCGUGGGGAGCGAACAGG
RNAcentral lists this ribosomal RNA (253 nucleotides) under uncultured bacterium. Its description in RNAcentral is "partial 16S ribosomal RNA". It matches the Rfam family "Bacterial small subunit ribosomal RNA", at positions 524 to 776 of the family's 1533-position model. The record is from RNAcentral.